AGUGAACGUUGGCGGCGUGGAUUAGGCAUGCAAGUCGAGCGAGAACCGUAGCAAUACGGGGACAGCGGCGAAAGGGACAGUAAUGUGUAGGUACCUACCUCCGGGUUCGGGAUAGCUGCGGGAAACUGCAGGUAAUACCGAAUAACGUCUCCGGACCAAAGGUGUGAUUCCACCUGGAGAGGGGCCUGCAUCCUAUUAGCUAGUUGGGGAGGUAACGGCUCACCAAGGCGACGAUGGGUAGCGGGUGUGAGAGCACGACCCGCGUCAUUGGGACUGAGACACUGCCCAGACACCUACGGGUGGCUGCAGGCGAGGAUCUUCGGAAAUGGGCGCAAGCCUGUCCGAGCGACGCCGCGUGCGGGAUGAAGGCCGUCGGGUUGUAAACCGCUGUCGUAGAGGAGGAAAUGCAGGGGGGUUCUCCCCUCUGUUUGACCUAUUCUAGGAGGAAGGACGGGCUAAGUUCGUGCCAGCCGCCGCAGUAA
RNAcentral lists this ribosomal RNA (482 nucleotides) under uncultured bacterium. RNAcentral describes it as "partial 16S ribosomal RNA". It matches the Rfam family "Bacterial small subunit ribosomal RNA", at positions 30 to 523 of the family's 1533-position model. The record is from RNAcentral.